GACGGACGCUGGCGGCGUGCUUAACACAUGCAAGUCGAACGAAGAGCGAUGGAAGCUUGCUUCUCUCAAUCUUAGUGGCGAACGGGUGAGUAACGCGUAAUCAACCUGCCCUUCAGAGGGGGACAACAGUUGGAAACGACUGCUAAUACCGCAUACGAUCUAAUCUCGGCAUCGAGGAUAGAUGAAAGGUGGCCUCUACAUGUAAGCUAUCACUGAAGGAGGGGAUUGCGCCUGAUUAGCUAGUUGGAGGGGUAACGGCCCACCAAGGCGAUGAUCAGUAGCCGGUCUGAGAGGAUGAACGGCCACAUUGGGACUGAGACACGGCCCAGACUCCUACGGGAGGCAGCAGUGGGGAAUCUUCCGCAAUGGACGAAAGUCUGACGGAGCAACGCCGCGUGAGUGAUGACGGCCUUCGGGUUGUAAAGCUCUGUUAAUCGGGACGAAAGGCCUUCUUGCGAAUAGUGAGAAGGAUUGACGGUACCGGAAUAGAAAGCCACGGCUAACUACGUG
This 510-nucleotide ribosomal RNA is filed under the name uncultured bacterium. RNAcentral's name for it is "partial 16S ribosomal RNA". It matches the Rfam family "Bacterial small subunit ribosomal RNA", at positions 28 to 507 of the family's 1533-position model. The record is from RNAcentral.